GAUGAACGCUGGCGGCGUGCCUAAUACAUGCAAGUCGAGCGAACAGACGAGGAGCUUGCUCCUCUGACGUUAGCGGCGGACGGGUGAGUAACACGUGGAUAACCUACCUAUAAGACUGGGAUAACUUCGGGAAACCGGAGCUAAUACCGGAUAAUAUAUUGAACCGCAUGGUUCAAUAGUGAAAGACGGUUUUGCUGUCACUUAUAGAUGGAUCCGCGCCGCAUUAGCUAGUUGGUAAGGUAACGGCUUACCAAGGCAACGAUGCGUAGCCGACCUGAGAGGGUGAUCGGCCACACUGGAACUGAGCCACGGUCCAGACUCCUACGGGAGGCAGCAGUAGGGAAUCUUCCGCAAUGGGCGAAAGCCUGACGGAGCAACGCCGCGUGAGUGAUGAAGGUCUUCGGAACGUAAAACUCUGUUAUUAGGGAAGAACAAAUGUGUAAGUAACUAUGCACGUCUUGACGGUACCUAAUCAGAAAGCCACGGCUAACUACGUG
Molecule: ribosomal RNA, 497 nt
Filed under: uncultured bacterium
Lineage: Bacteria
Description: partial 16S ribosomal RNA
Rfam family: Bacterial small subunit ribosomal RNA
Source: RNAcentral